Long non-coding RNA from Gallus gallus (chicken), 1384 nucleotides. Lineage: Eukaryota; Metazoa; Chordata; Aves; Galliformes; Phasianidae. The record is from Ensembl.
CCACACGGUGUCCCGCAGGACACUAUACGACAAAGUCCCCGCCGCGGCUCCUGUUUCUCGGGGCCACCAUAAAAGGGAAAGCCCUCAACAUAUCCGCGUCUCCAGCUUUCCUGACCUCCCUGCGAAUACGCGCCCGGGUAUCAUGUGGAUCGGGGAGAAACAGAACCGGCUCUUCCUUAAGGUCUAUCGGGACAGAAUCAAAAGUGUCGUCAGGACCUUCGUGAGAGGAGGCGGCGAGGACACCACCCCGCGGCGGUGAUAAUGAAGGAGCUGAUGGCACAACGGAUACUCAAAACCCGACUGCACAGUCCUGAGCAACAUGUUCUACAUGACUCUGCUUGAACAGUGAGUUUAGACUAGUUGAUCUUCAGAGGUCCUGUCCAAUCUCAAAGAUUCUAUGAAUCCUACUCCUCUGGCAACUGUCUUGACCACAGACAACAGGCUUACUUUCCUGGUUUGCUAUUCCAGUUUAAAAUGUCUUCAUCAGUGAAUAUAGAUCAGUGUAAAAUUGAAGUAACAGAGUGAUAUUGCCAUGCAAGGCAAUGUUCCAAAUACAGUGAAAGAUUAUUUUAAUCUCAGAAGAGAUUAGUUAGCUGUAUAGGUAGUAAAAUAAGGACCACUGUUACAGAUACUAAGAUAUUAUUUAAACAAAUAACCACAGAAAUAUCAAUAUUAUCUGCUUUUUCUUUACUUCACAAGGUUUUUAAAAAUGUCAAGGUGAAAAAAAAAAACACACAAUGUUUAAUAUUUUAUUCAUAGAUUAGUAUAAUACAUUUCCAGAUAAAAUCAAUACUGUGUUAUUAUUGUUAUUAUUAAGAACUACGUUAUCCUCCCCAGUGAGAAACAAAAUACAACAUAAGGAAGAAACUGAUGAAUUAGAAAAGAAGAAAAUAGCCAAUUCUAAACAGCACUAUGAACAAUCAAAUAAUUCUUAUUCGUGUUCCCUUACUUGCAAGCCUGUUCUGUUAUUGUUUUGUUCUGACUGUUUGUUUUUUUAACAUUUCUGUGUUUUCUUUGUUUCAGCAAGAGACUGAAUCGAUAACGAUCUCAGGGCUUCAUCUGAAAAUGAUAGUAUUUUCAUCUGUAUGACGCAUUUGGUGAGAUCUUUGAAAUAAACACACUCCAGUCAAGAGGUGGAGUGCAGGGAUACAGGAGAAGGUUGUCUGAGAGUCAACCAAUAUAAAAGGGAAUCAAUACAUUUACUACUGGUAAAUAAAAUGGAGUUUUUGUACAAAGUGUAGAUGAUCAAGAUGGUCUAGAAAAAUGAUUCAGAAUGUUAAGAAGCUUUUGUGAUCAUUUCCACUCAUUGUUUUGUAAGCCUGCCUACUCAACAAAGAUUGACAUGAAAGUGAAGAAGGCUGAUAAAAAGCAUUCUGAACAGCAC